AGAGUUUGAUCAUGGCUCAGGAUGAACGCUGGCGGCGUGCUUAACACAUGCAAGUCGAACGAAGCACUUAAGAUUGACUCUUCGGAUGAUUUCUUUUGUGACUUAGUGGCGGACGGGUGAGUAACGCGUGGGUAACCUGCCUCACACAGGGGGAUAACAGUUAGAAAUGACUGCUAAUACCGCAUAACCCGAUAGGAUCGCAUGAUCCAGACGGAAAAGAUUUAUCGGUGUGAGAUGGACCCGCGUCUGAUUAGCUAGUUGGUGAGGUAACGGCCACAAGGCAACGAUCAGUAGCCGGCCUGAGAGGGUGAACGGCCACAUUGGGACUGGAGACACGGCCCAAACUCCUACGGGAGCA
RNAcentral lists this ribosomal RNA (358 nucleotides) under uncultured bacterium. RNAcentral's name for it is "bacterial SSU rRNA". It matches the Rfam family "Bacterial small subunit ribosomal RNA", at positions 8 to 349 of the family's 1533-position model. The record is from RNAcentral.